CCUUCUUUCUAUCUUCUUUUUCUUCAAUAUCAUCUCUUACAUUAAUUUAUCAUAAUGGCUUACCAAUCUCUUGCUUUCUUGGCUCUCAUCAUUGUCGCUGUCACCGGUGUUGUUGCUCAGGGUCCUACCUCCUCCACUCCAGCUCCCACCACCUCCUCCACUCCAGCUCCCACCACCUCCUCAUUUGAUUCCUCCACUCCCUCGUCUUCAUCUUCACUUGAUUCAACCACCACCACGACCACCACCUCCUCCUCCUCCUCAGGUUCCUCUACUGGUUCUCCAUCAAUAUCAGUGGCUCCCGGAUUGGCACCCGAUUCCUAUGCUCAAUCACCAACGACCGCGGCAUCUCCCACCGGUUCUUCUGCUGAGACUUCUCGCUUCUUUACAAAUGGUUUUUUUGGUUGACAGAUUUACAGAGAGGAGAUUCAAAUCUCCAACUUUUGAUAGACACUAAUACUAUUUUAAUCAUUUGAGCUAUGCUCCUCGUGACAACGUAGAGUCACAAUUUUACUUUUCUCUUUUAUUAAGUUUCGUUUCAAUCCGAUAAAAUAAAUAAAAAGAAUUUUCAUUUAUUGCUGUCCAAGUAUCUUUAAUUCCAAUGUUUAGAUUUGGACUCGAUACACGUAUUAGCAAUUUUAGCUUUACGAGACAAACGUCACAAACAUUUUUCAAACUCAUUAUUAGGC
RNAcentral lists this long non-coding RNA (686 nucleotides) under Cucumis sativus (cucumber). RNAcentral describes it as "long non-coding RNA (CSAT_LNC001144)". The record is from RNAcentral. Lineage: Eukaryota; Viridiplantae; Streptophyta; Magnoliopsida; Cucurbitales; Cucurbitaceae.